CCUACGGGAGGCAGCAGUGAGGAAUAUUGGUCAAUGGACGAGAGUCUGAACCAGCCAAGUAGCGUGAAGGAUGACUGCCCUAUGGGUUGUAAACUUCUUUUAUAUGGGAAUAAAACGUUCCACGUGUGGGAUUUUGUAUGUACCAUAUGAAUAAGGAUCGGCUAACUCCGUGCCAGCAGCCGCGGUAAUACGGAGGAUCCGAGCGUUAUCCGGAUUUAUUGGGUUUAACGGGAGCGUAGGUGGAUUGUUAAGUCAGUUGUGAAAGUUUGCGGCUCAACCGUAAAAUUGCAGUUGAAACUGGCAGUCUUGAGUACAGUAGAGGUGGGCGGAAUUCGUGGUGUGGCGGUGAAAUGCUUAGAUAUCACGAAGAACUCCGAUUGCGAAGGCAGUUCACUGGACUGCAACUGACACUGAGGCUCGAAAGUGUGGGUAUCAAACAGGAUUAGAUACCCUUGUAGUC
Molecule: ribosomal RNA, 460 nt
Filed under: uncultured bacterium
Lineage: Bacteria
Description: partial 16S ribosomal RNA
Rfam family: Bacterial small subunit ribosomal RNA
Source: RNAcentral